Molecule: ribosomal RNA, 460 nt
Filed under: uncultured bacterium
Lineage: Bacteria
Description: partial 16S ribosomal RNA
Rfam family: Bacterial small subunit ribosomal RNA
Source: RNAcentral
CCUACGGGUGGCAGCAGUGAGGAAUAUUGGUCAAUGGGCGAGAGCCUGAACCAGCCAAGUCGCGUGAAGGAUGACGGCCCUACGGGUUGUAAACUUCUUUUGUCAGGGAGCAAUUGGGUCCACGCGUGGGCUUAGCGAGAGUACCUGAAGAAAAAGCAUCGGCUAACUCCGUGCCAGCAGCCGCGGUAAUACGGAGGAUGCGAGCGUUAUCCGGAUUUAUUGGGUUUAAAGGGUGCGUAGGCGGAAUAUCAAGUCAGCGGUAAAAAUUCGGGGGUCAACCCCGUCUUGCCGUCGAAACUGAUGUGUUUGAGUGGGAGAGAAGUAUGUGGAAUGCGUGGUGUAGCGGGGAAAUGCAUAGAUAUCAAGCAGAACUUCGAUUGCGAAGGCAGCAUACCGGCGCCCAACUGACGAUGAAGCACGAAAGCGUGGGUAACGAACAGGAUUAGAUACCCUUGUAGUC